GAUGAACGCUGGCGGCGUGCCUAAUACAUGCAAGUCGAGCGAACAGAUAAGGAGCUUGCUCCUUUGACGUUAGCGGCGGACGGGUGAGUAACACGUGGGUAACCUACCUAUAAGACUGGGAUAACUUCGGGAAACCGGAGCUAAUACAGGAUAAUAUUUCGAACCGCAUGGUUCGAUAGUGAAAGAUGGUUUUGCUAUCACUUAUAGAUGGACCCGCGCCGUAUUAGCUAGUUGGUAAGGUAACGGCUUACCAAGGCGACGAUACGUAGCCGACCUGAGAGGGUGAUCGGCCACACUGGAACUGAGACACGGUCCAGACUCCUACGGGAGGCAGCAGUAGGGAAUCUUCCGCAAUGGGCGAAAGCCUGACGGAGCAACGCCGCGUGAGUGAUGAAGGUCUUCGGAUCGUAAAACUCUGUUAUUAGGGAAGAACAUACGUGUAAGUAACUGUUCACGUCUUGACGGUACCUAAUCAGAAAGCCACGGCUAACUACGUG
RNAcentral lists this ribosomal RNA (497 nucleotides) under uncultured bacterium. RNAcentral's name for it is "partial 16S ribosomal RNA". It matches the Rfam family "Bacterial small subunit ribosomal RNA", at positions 28 to 507 of the family's 1533-position model. The record is from RNAcentral.